UGAGGAAUAUUGGUCAAUGGGCGCGAGCCUGAACCAGCCAAGUCGCGUGAGGGAUGACGGCCCUACGGGUUGUAAACCUCUGUCCUCUGUGAAGAUAAUGACGGUAGCAGAGGAGGAAGCUCCGGCUAACUCCGUGCCAGCAGCCGCGGUAAUACGGAGGAUGCGAGCGUUAUCCGGAUUUAUUGGGUUUAAAGGGUGCGUAGGCGGACUGUCAAGUCAGCGGUAAAAUACGGGGGCUCAACCUCCGCCCGCCGUUGAAACUGACGGUCUUGAGUGGGCGAGAAGUAUGCGGAAUGCGUGGUGUAGCGGUGAAAUGCAUAGAUAUCACGCAGAACUCCGAUUGCGAAGGCAGCAUACCGGCGCCCAACUGACGCUGAAGCACGAAAGCGUGGGUAUCGAACAGG
This 404-nucleotide ribosomal RNA is filed under the name uncultured bacterium. Its description in RNAcentral is "bacterial SSU rRNA". It matches the Rfam family "Bacterial small subunit ribosomal RNA", at positions 355 to 776 of the family's 1533-position model. The record is from RNAcentral.